Molecule: ribosomal RNA, 764 nt
Filed under: uncultured Streptococcus sp.
Lineage: Bacteria; Bacillati; Bacillota; Bacilli; Lactobacillales; Streptococcaceae
Description: bacterial SSU rRNA
Rfam family: Bacterial small subunit ribosomal RNA
Source: RNAcentral
GACGAACGCUGGCGGCGUGCCUAAUACAUGCAAGUAGAACGCUGAAGGAGGAGCUUGCUUCUCUGGAUGAGUUGCGAACGGGUGAGUAACGCGUAGGUAACCUGCCUGGUAGCGGGGGAUAACUAUUGGAAACGAUAGCUAAUACCGCAUAAGAGUAGAUGUUGCAUGACAUUUGCUUAAAAGGUGCAAUUGCAUCACUACCAGAUGGACCUGCGUUGUAUUAGCUAGUUGGUGGGGUAACGGCUCACCAAGGCGACGAUACAUAGCCGACCUGAGAGGGUGAUCGGCCACACUGGGACUGAGACACGGCCCAGACUCCUACGGGAGGCAGCAGUAGGGAAUCUUCGGCAAUGGACGGAAGUCUGACCGAGCAACGCCGCGUGAGUGAAGAAGGUUUUCGGAUCGUAAAGCUCUGUUGUAAGAGAAGAACGAGUGUGAGAGUGGAAAGUUCACACUGUGACAGUAUCUUACCAGAAAGGGACGGCUAACUACGUGCCAGCAGCCGCGGUAAUACGUAGGUGGCAAGCGUUAUCCGGAUUUAUUGGGCGUAAAGAGAGUGCAGGCGGUUUUCUAAGUCUGAUGUGAAAGCCUUCGGCUUAACCGGAGAAGUGCAUCGGAAACUGGAUAACUUGAGUGCAGAAGAGGGUAGUGGAACUCCAUGUGUAGCGGUGGAAUGCGUAGAUAUAUGGAAGAACACCAGUGGCGAAGGCGGCUACCUGGUCUGCAACUGACGCUGAGACUCGAAAGCAUGGGUAGCGAACAGG